UACGGAGGAUGCAAGCGUUAUCCGGAUUUAUUGGGCGUAAAGCGUCCGUAGGUGGCAAACCAAGUCAGUUGUUAAAGCGUAGAGCUUAACUCUAUAAGGGCAAUUGAAACUGGUUAGCUAGAGUGCGAUAGGGGCAAGGGGAAUUCCCAGUGUAGCGGUGAAAUGCGUAGAUAUUGGGAAGAACAUCGGUGGCGAAGGCGCCUUGCUGGGUCUGCACUGACACUGAGGGACGAAAGCUAGGGGAGCGAAAGGG
This 253-nucleotide ribosomal RNA is filed under the name uncultured bacterium. RNAcentral describes it as "partial 16S ribosomal RNA". It matches the Rfam family "Bacterial small subunit ribosomal RNA", at positions 524 to 776 of the family's 1533-position model. The record is from RNAcentral.